RNAcentral lists this ribosomal RNA (210 nucleotides) under uncultured Staphylococcus sp. RNAcentral's name for it is "partial 16S ribosomal RNA". It matches the Rfam family "Bacterial small subunit ribosomal RNA", at positions 150 to 356 of the family's 1533-position model. The record is from RNAcentral. Lineage: Bacteria; Bacillati; Bacillota; Bacilli; Caryophanales; Staphylococcaceae.
CGGGAAACCGGAGCUAAUACCGGAUAAUAUUCGAACCGCAUGGUUCGAUAGUGAAAGAUGGUUUUGCUAUCACUUAUAGAUGGACCCGCGCCGUAUAGCUAGUUGGUAAGGUAACGGCUUACCAAGGCGACGAUACGUAGCCGACCUGAGAGGGUGAUCGGCCACACUGGAACUGAGACACGGUCCAGACUCCUACGGGAGGCAGCAGCG